This 648-nucleotide long non-coding RNA is filed under the name Marmota monax (woodchuck). The record is from RNAcentral. Lineage: Eukaryota; Metazoa; Chordata; Mammalia; Rodentia; Sciuridae.
UGAAGUGCCCACCCGCCCCCAGCCAAGCACACCCUUCUCGGCUCCCGAGAGGGCCGCGGCGGUGGUGCGGUAGCGCAGGCCGAAGUGUGAGCUGUGGAACUCCAGAGAUUCUUGGAUGGACGCGGGCGUUGUUGGGGACAUUAAUCCCUCUCUCGCGGCCGGCGCGCUUUGUGCCCAGGGAGGCUGGGCCGCGGCAUUGUCCCCGCAGGGAAGGGGACCUCGGGCAGCGCCGGGACCCCUCUCACGGCUGUGAAUACCCGCGGCUCCCAGGAACCCUCGACCCUUUGUGUCCGGCGCUGUGGUCUGAUCUUUCCGACCUCUACGGGGAUCUUGUGAAUUAGUGAGGGGGAAGGGCCGGGGAAGCCGGGGUAAGAAAGCCGGAGGCCGGUCGAAGUCCGCCUCUCGCAGUGGGGGAGGGGACAGGAAACCGGCAGCGCGCUUCCCCAGACCCGCUCUGGGCUCGGGCCACAGCGGGGUCCUGAGCUGCGACUCUAGGCCAGUCUUCAGAUUAGGGUUUCCCGGCCUGUGUAAAGGAGGUGCAGCAAGAAAUCCCAGUCCCGAAGCGGGUUUAGUUCUUGCUGGGGACCGCGCGGGUGAGGUCCUCCUUUCCCCAGACCUAGGCGUGAUCCUAGCAGACACCUGCACGUG